RNAcentral lists this ribosomal RNA (525 nucleotides) under uncultured Pseudomonadota bacterium. RNAcentral describes it as "bacterial SSU rRNA". It matches the Rfam family "Bacterial small subunit ribosomal RNA", at positions 381 to 896 of the family's 1533-position model. The record is from RNAcentral. Lineage: Bacteria; Pseudomonadati; Pseudomonadota.
ACCUGACGCAGCAACGCCGCGUGAGUGAUGAAGGCCUUCGGGUCGUAAAGCUCUGUCAGAGGGGAAGAACCACCUGAGGGGUAAUAUCCUUCAGGCCUGACGGUACCCUCAAAGGAAGCACCGGCUAACUCCGUGCCAGCAGCCGCGGUAAUACGGAGGGUGCAAGCGUUGUUCGGAAUUAUUGGGCGUAAAGCGCGUGUAGGCGGUCUGUUAAGUCUGAUGUGAAAGCCCCGGGCUCAACCCGGGAAGUGCAUUGGAAACUGGCAGACUUGAGUACGGGAGAGGGUAGUGGAAUUCCGAGUGUAGGGGUGAAAUCCGUAGAUAUUCGGAGGAACACCGGUGGCGAAGGCGGCUACCUGGACCGAUACUGACGCUGAGACGCGAAAGCGUGGGGAGCAAACAGGAUUAGAUACCCUGGUAGUCCACGCCGUAAACGAUGGGUACUAGGUGUUGCGGGUAUUGAUCCCUGCAGUGCCGAAGCUAACGCAUUAAGUACCCCGCCUGGGGAGUACGGCCGCAAGGCUA